Papilio polytes (common Mormon) is the source of this 492-nucleotide long non-coding RNA. RefSeq lists it as uncharacterized. The record is from RefSeq and is a predicted model, not a curated record. The transcript has 2 exons. Lineage: Eukaryota; Metazoa; Arthropoda; Insecta; Lepidoptera; Papilionidae.
CAGUGUUGGUCAGUCUUAAUAAAUUUCUCGCGUGGAAUGCAAGUCCUGUAAUAAUUUUUAAAAUAUUUAGUGUUGUGAAACCUGGCAAUAAAGUAAAAGCUUCAUAAAGAUUUGAAGGAGCAGUAUCCGAAAUUAAGAAUAUGGAUUUCCUAGUAAGCGCGUUGGCUCCAUUAGUGCCUAAAGUGGCGAUGCGUGAUUCUGCCCCGGCCCCGUUAGUUGUCGAGAAAAAGACAGUCGUGGAAGUUGUUACUAAAGCUGUUCCCGUCGGCCCUCCAGCCGUUAAGCCGCCCUUGCUAAAGAACAAAUUACCUUAUGAUAAUAUAACUUAUUAAUGAUGACAAUCAUUUACUCAUUGUACUAUUAUCAAAAAUUUUUUUGCAUUUAUUGAAUUUCUGUAAUUUGUACUUACAGCUCUACUGUGAGUUUUUUCAUGUUGUAUCUCAUUUUUUUCUAUUUUUUGUAAUAAAUACUCACUAAAGUUUUGUUUUAUUA